UACGGAGGGUGCAAGCGUUAAUCGGAAUUAUUGGGCCUAAAGCAUCCGUAGCCGGCUCUGUAAGUUUUCGGUUAAAUCUGUACGCUCAACGUACAGGCUGCCGGGAAUACUGCAGAGCUAGGGAGUGGGAGAGGUAGACGGUACUCGGUAGGAAGGGGUAAAAUCCUUUGAUCUAUUGAUGACCACCUGUGGCGAAGGCGGUCUACCAGAACACGUCCGACGGUGAGGGAUGAAAGCUGGGGGAGCAAACCGG
This 253-nucleotide ribosomal RNA is filed under the name uncultured archaeon. RNAcentral describes it as "partial 16S ribosomal RNA". It matches the Rfam family "Bacterial small subunit ribosomal RNA", at positions 524 to 776 of the family's 1533-position model. The record is from RNAcentral.